Long non-coding RNA from Vigna angularis (adzuki bean), 233 nucleotides. RefSeq lists it as uncharacterized. The transcript has 3 exons. The record is from RefSeq and is a predicted model, not a curated record. NCBI's taxonomy places the organism in Eukaryota, Viridiplantae, Streptophyta, Magnoliopsida, Fabales, Fabaceae.
ACCGAUUCUUGGUGGCCAUUUUCAACUACUUCUCAUACUUCCUGAGAACAUAGGAGGAACUUCAUCUGCAAGAUCCAGUUGUCAUAGUUGACGCCUUUUGUUGACUUAGGUAGAGGCAUACCGUUUGCAAGAGCAGGGAACAUGGUUUCCAACUGAUCAAGAUGGAAAAGAAAGGCCAAUAAACAUCUUGAGGCUCUGGAGCUUGCUCAGUAAUCCAGUGUGUGGGGUUGACA